GAAAUGCGAUAAGUAAUGUGAAUUGCAGAAUUCCGUGAAUCAUCGAAUCUUUGAACGCACAUUGCGCCCUCUGGCAUUCCGGGGGGGCAUGCCUGUCCGAGCGUCAUUACGCACCCUCAAGCCCGGCUUGUGUGAUGGGCCCCGGCGUCUCGUUCGCGAGACGGGCCCGAAAGGCAGCGGCGGCGUCGACCCGAUGAGCCCGAGCGUAUGGGGACUUCUGUCACACGUUCGCGGUGCGGACCGGCGCCUGCUUGACUUUUCUGAUUAUCCAGGUUGACCUCGGAUCAGGUAGGGAUACCCGCUGAACUUAAGC
This 313-nucleotide unclassified non-coding RNA is filed under the name plant metagenome. RNAcentral's name for it is "partial contains 5.8S ribosomal RNA, internal transcribed spacer 2, and large subunit ribosomal RNA". The stretch from base 1 to 106 matches the Rfam family "5.8S ribosomal RNA", at positions 50 to 154 of the family's 154-position model. The record is from RNAcentral.